This 447-nucleotide ribosomal RNA is filed under the name uncultured bacterium. RNAcentral describes it as "bacterial SSU rRNA". It matches the Rfam family "Bacterial small subunit ribosomal RNA", at positions 355 to 825 of the family's 1533-position model. The record is from RNAcentral.
UGGGGAAUCUUGGACAAUGGGCGCAAGCCUGAUCCAGCCAUGCCGCGUGGAUGAUGAAGGCCUUAGGGUUGUAAAAUCCUUUCGUUGGGGACGAUAAUGACGGUACCCAAAGAAGAAGCUCCGGCUAACUUCGUGCCAGCAGCCGCGGUAAUACGAAGGGGGCUAGCGUUGUUCGGAUUUACUGGGCGUAAAGCGCGUGUAGGCGGAUUUGUAAGUUGGGGGUGAAAUCCCGAGGCUCAACCUCGGAACUGCCUCCAAAACUACAAGUCUGGACCUAAGUAGAGGCAAGUGGAAUUGCGAGUGUAGAGGUGAAAUUCGUAGAUAUUCGCAGGAACACCAGUGGCGAAGGCGACUUGCUGGACUUAUGGUGACGCUGAGACGCGAAAGCGUGGGGAGCAAACAGGAUUAGAUACCCGAGUAGUCCCUGAGCGGGCUGGCAAGGCGCAU